This 807-nucleotide ribosomal RNA is filed under the name uncultured bacterium. RNAcentral describes it as "bacterial SSU rRNA". It matches the Rfam family "Bacterial small subunit ribosomal RNA", at positions 28 to 805 of the family's 1533-position model. The record is from RNAcentral.
GACCCUCUUUGGGGGCGUGCUUAACACAUGCAAGUCGAACGGAGUUUAUAGGAAGCUUGCUUCUUGUAAACUUAGUGGCGAACGGGUGAGUAACGCGUAACCAACCUGCCCUUCAGAGGGGGAUAACAACGGGAAACCGUUGCUAAUACCGCGUGCGUAUGAACUUCGGCAUCGAAGCUCAUUGAAAGGUGGCCUCUAUUUAUAAGCUAUCGCUGAAGGAGGGGGUUGCGUCUGAUUAGCUAGUUGGAGGGGUAACGGCCCACCAAGGCAAUGAUCAGUAGCCGGUCUGAGAGGAUGAACGGCCACAUUGGGACUGAGACACGGCCCAAACUCCUACGGGAGGCAGCAGUGGGGAAUCUUCCGCAAUGGACGAAAGUCUGACGGAGCAACGCCGCGUGAGUGAUGACGGCCUUCGGGUUGUAAAGCUCUGUUAAUCGGGACGAAUGGUCCUUGUGUGAAUAAUGCAAGGAUUUGACGGUACCGGAAUAGAAAGCCACGGCUAACUACGCGCCAGCAGCCGCGGUAAUACGUAGGUGGCAAGCGUUGUCCGGAAUUAUUGGGCGUAAAGCGCGCGCAGGCGGUUUCAUAAGUCUGUCUUAAAAGUGCGGGGCUUAACCCCGUGAGGGGAUGGAAACUAUGGAACUGGAGUAUCGGAGAGGAAAGCGGAAUUCCUAGUGUAGCGGUGAAAUGCGUAGAUAUUAGGAAGAACACCAGUGGCGAAGGCGGCUUUCUGGACGACAACUGACGCUGAGGCGCGAAAGCCAGGGGAGCGAACGGGAGUAGAUACCCCGGUAGUCCUGGCCGUAA